This is a long non-coding RNA of Halichondria panicea, 971 nucleotides long. RefSeq lists it as uncharacterized. The record is from RefSeq and is a predicted model, not a curated record. The transcript is spliced from 3 exons. Lineage: Eukaryota; Metazoa; Porifera; Demospongiae; Suberitida; Halichondriidae.
GCAAAAGUCAACUGCAAAAGCGAACUGCACAAGCGAAUUGCAAAAGUAAACUGCAGAAGUAUAGUUGAACUGCAGAAGAGAACUGCAAAAGCAAACUGCACAAGCGAAUUGCAAAAAUGAACUGCAAAAGCGAACUGCAAAGUGAACUGCAAAGUAAACUGCUAUGGAGCUUAAUUUGUGUCAAAAUUAAAAAGCAGUAUUUUCUAUUCCAAAGUGAGAAUGGACAUGGGAGGAGAGAAUACUGGAAUUGCUCGUUUUAUGCUAUCUCAUCCUCUUAGGAGAGGGAGUGCGAUUGUCGGUGCUAGUGUACAUAAUCAAGGGUGGAAAGGUUUUGGAGAGAUCUUUUCAUCGGCUGCACAGGAAUAUUUUAUCAUCUUUUUUAUCACAUGGAACAAACAGGCCAGUUGAAUCCGAUAUAGACACCUUACAUCUUUUUCGCCUGCACUUCGUAUAUUUGCCCUACAUUAAUUAUCAAAUAGAUAUAUUUCUUGAUGCGUGGGCAAAUCACUGUUUAAGUUCAGAGCGAAACCAAACUCCACUACAGCUAUGGAUGCAAGGAUGUGUACACAGUUACUGGACACAAUUACUGAUGACUAUACCCUUGUUAUGGGAUUGAUUGGGAAGAGCCUGUGCCAGAAGUUUAAGAAAAUGAACAUGUUGAAGUACCACCUAUAUACUCAUUCUCCACUGUCAGAAGAACAAUUUCAAGAUCUUUCAGCACUCUAUCCUCUACAAAGAACUCUCCAUUCCAGUGUUCAUGCUGUAGAUGUCUUCCAAGAAGUGUUGGACUAUGUUACGGAUAUUACCCAAUAAUGUUUUACUGUGUGCAUGUGGUAUGUGUGUGUCCAAUGAAUACUAUUACAUUUUGGAAAUUGUUUACGAAAAAUACAUUAAAUAUAUUGGAAUUUUAAUUGGAACACUGACUUGGAAUUGUAAUGUUUUUACUGUGUGUGUGGUAUGUGUGCACUGUA